RNAcentral lists this ribosomal RNA (494 nucleotides) under uncultured bacterium. RNAcentral describes it as "partial 16S ribosomal RNA". It matches the Rfam family "Bacterial small subunit ribosomal RNA", at positions 28 to 507 of the family's 1533-position model. The record is from RNAcentral.
GACGAACGCUGGCGGCGUGCUUAACACAUGCGAGUCGAACGGAAAGGCCUGCUUUCCCUUGUGGUUUGCGGGUACUCGAGUGGCUAACGGGUGAGUAACACGUGAGUGAUCUGCCCCCAACUUGGGUAUAAGCCUGGGAAACUGGGUCUAAUUCCCGAUAGGACUGCAGGGUGGUGCCUGUGGUGGAAAACGAUUUUCUAGUGGUUGGGGAUGAGCUCGCGGCCUAUCAGCUUGUUGGUGGGGUAAUGGCCUACCAAGGCGGCGACGGGUAGCCGGCCUGGGAGGGUGGACGGCCGAAUUGGGACUGGGAUACGGCCCAGACGCGUACGGGAGGCAGCAGUGGGGAAUAUUGCACAAAGGGCGGGAGCCUGAUGCAGCGACGGCGCGUGGGGGAUGACGGCAUUCGGGUUGUAAACUCCUUGCGACCGCGAGGAAGCCACCUGGUUGGAAGGGUGGUGACGGUAGUGGUAGAAGAAGCACCGGCUAACUACGUG